This 513-nucleotide ribosomal RNA is filed under the name uncultured bacterium. RNAcentral describes it as "partial 16S ribosomal RNA". It matches the Rfam family "Bacterial small subunit ribosomal RNA", at positions 28 to 523 of the family's 1533-position model. The record is from RNAcentral.
GAUGAACGCUGGCGGCGUGCCUAAUACAUGCAAGUCGAGCGAACAGACGAGGAGCUUGCUCCUCUGACGUUAGCGGCGGACGGGUGAGUAACACGUGGAUAACCUACCUAUAAGACUGGGAUAACUUCGGGAAACCGGAGCUAAUACCGGAUAACAUGUUGAACCGCAUGGUUCAACAGUGAAAGACGGUCUUGCUGUCACUUAUAGAUGGAUCCGCGCCGCAUUAGCUAGUUGGUAAGGUAACGGCUUACCAAGGCAACGAUGCGUAGCCGACCGGAGAGGGUGAUCGGCCACACAGGAACUGAGACACGGUCCAGACUCCUACGGGAGGCAGCAGUAGGGAAUCUUCCGCAAUGGGCGAAAGCCUGACGGAGCAACGCCGCGUGAGUGAAGAAGGUCUUCGGAUCGUAAAACUCUGUUAUUAGGGAAGAACAAAUGUGUAAGUAACUAUGCACGUCUUGACGGUACCUAAUCAGAAAGCCACGGCUAACUACGUGCCAGCCGCCGCAGUAA